RNAcentral lists this non-coding RNA (151 nucleotides) under Alexandrium tamarense. Lineage: Eukaryota; Dinophyceae; Gonyaulacales; Pyrocystaceae. The record is from RNAcentral.
GGUUUUUCUCGUUGCUGACUGCGCACUCGCUUGCCAUCAAGACUGGCUGGCACGUGCCUCGGCUGCUCUCGCCGGUCUUGACCGUCUACCACUUCAAGUGGACUUCCAACGUGAUGGACCGGAUGAUGAACCGAAUCUACGGGCACAAGAU